GAUUAUGGCUCAGGGUGAACGCUGGCGGUAUGGAUAAGGCAUGCAAGUCGAGCGCCUCGCAAGAGGAGCGGCAGACGAUGUAGUAACACGUAGGUACAUCCCCCAAGGUCAGGAAUAGCUAGUCGAAAGAUUAGGUAAUACUUGAUAUGAAGUAAUUUGAAAGAUUUAUCGCCAUGGGAGUGGCCUGCGUCGUAUCAGCUAGUUGGUGAGGUAAUGGCUCACCAAGGCUA
RNAcentral lists this ribosomal RNA (230 nucleotides) under uncultured bacterium. Its description in RNAcentral is "partial 16S ribosomal RNA". It matches the Rfam family "Bacterial small subunit ribosomal RNA", at positions 15 to 276 of the family's 1533-position model. The record is from RNAcentral.